AGAGUGCUCGGGCCUGGUGCAGCGGGUCCAGAGUAGGCUGGAGGGAUGGAGGGCAUCCUCCCUAUCCAUGAUGGGGAGUGUUCGUCCGAUUCCUAUCUACCUAAAAAUAUGCUAGACAGAUCGUUGUUAGAACCGACGAACAAAAGUUAAAUUUAAUUCUACUCUUACCUUUCCUACUCGAAGAAUAGCGGUUGUAAGAGGUCGAUCCACAGGGAGGCGAUUGGAGUUGCAUAAAAAUUA
RNAcentral lists this long non-coding RNA (240 nucleotides) under Phoenix dactylifera (date palm). RNAcentral describes it as "long non-coding RNA (PDAC_LNC005891)". Lineage: Eukaryota; Viridiplantae; Streptophyta; Magnoliopsida; Arecales; Arecaceae. The record is from RNAcentral.